This 31-nucleotide non-coding RNA is filed under the name Mus musculus (house mouse). Lineage: Eukaryota; Metazoa; Chordata; Mammalia; Rodentia; Muridae. The record is from RNAcentral.
GCCUUGCACAAUCCUACAGGAGAAGUUAGUU